UAAAUACUGGUAAAAUUAUCGUUUUGGCCGUGCAUCUAUUUUCCAAAAGUCAUAAUCGUUCAAAAUAUCCAUAAAAACCGUUGGAAAAAGAUAAUUUCAACUUUACGUAACCUAUUUGAGUAAUCGGUUUCUCCAUGUGGUGUUAAACUAUUGAGUAAUGUUUAUUUUUAAUACAAAGUUGUUAUUUGACCCGGAUUCUGGGCCAAAUGACCGUCGGCUAUUUGACCGGGACCUGCGGGGAUCGUGUGGGAUUGUAGUCGGGAUGGUUGGGGGCAUUAAACAAGUCAUUCCAUUAUGGUAUUAUUUAAUUGUAUAAUUUCUGUUGACAAAAGGAUUUAGUUUUAUUUUAGAUCUUUGUCAAAUAACCGGCGGUUAUUGUGCCGAGUACUGGUCAAAUAAUCCCUGCCUAUAAUAUAAUAGUUUUACAGUGUUGUGUAUUAUAUAGGUAUCUGUUACAUUUCCAGGAAGCUUUAAGGACCAACAACACAUCUCGGUACGACAAGUGGAGACUCGACCGUACAGACCCGUCCGGUCUCGCACACGACGCCGUUAACGGCAAACGGAGAAACGCCGCCGCCGCCGACCCGCGGGAGGUACUUUCUCCAUCACUGCCUAAAGUGGACCUGAUGUGAACUAGAAUGAAGUUGGCUGGACCUGCAGUGAAGUGGACCUGAAGCUAACUGGACCUCAAGUAGUCUGUGGAAGCUUCAAGGACCAACAACACAUCUCGGUACGACAAGUCGAGACUCGACCGUACAGACCCGUCCGGUCUCGCACACGACGCCGUUAACGGCAAACGGAGAAACGCCGCUGGGAGGCACUUUCUCCAACACUGCCUACAGUGGACCUGAUGUGAACUAGAAUGAAGUUGGCUGGAC
Long non-coding RNA from Homarus americanus (American lobster), 878 nucleotides. RefSeq lists it as uncharacterized. The transcript has 4 exons. The record is from RefSeq and is a predicted model, not a curated record. NCBI's taxonomy places the organism in Eukaryota, Metazoa, Arthropoda, Malacostraca, Decapoda, Nephropidae.